This 387-nucleotide ribosomal RNA is filed under the name uncultured bacterium. Its description in RNAcentral is "bacterial SSU rRNA". It matches the Rfam family "Bacterial small subunit ribosomal RNA", at positions 958 to 1346 of the family's 1533-position model. The record is from RNAcentral.
AACGCGAAGAACCUUACCAGCCCUUGACAUGUCCGGCACACUCCAGAGAUGGGGUUUUCCCUUCGGGGACCGGAGCACAGGUGCUGCAUGGCUGUCGUCAGCUCGUGUCGUGAGAUGUUGGGUUAAGUCCCGCAACGAGCGCAACCCUCGCCCUUAGUUGCCAGCAUUAAGUUGGGCACUCUAGGGGGACUGCCGGUGAUAAGCCGAGAGGAAGGUGGGGAUGACGUCAAGUCCUCAUGGCCCUUACGGGCUGGGCUACACACGUGCUACAAUGGCGGUGACAAUGGGCAGCGAAGGGGCGACCCGGAGCUAAUCUUGAAAAACCGUCUCAGUUCGGAUUGUUCUCUGCAACUCGAGAGCAUGAAGUUGGAAUCGCUAGUAAUCGCG